This 404-nucleotide ribosomal RNA is filed under the name uncultured bacterium. Its description in RNAcentral is "bacterial SSU rRNA". It matches the Rfam family "Bacterial small subunit ribosomal RNA", at positions 29 to 480 of the family's 1533-position model. The record is from RNAcentral.
AACGAACGCUGGCGGCAGGCUUAACACAUGCAAGUCGAGCGCCCCGCAAGGGGAGCGGCAGACGGGUGAGUAACGCGUGGGAACGUACCUUUUGCUACGGAAUAACUCAGGGAAACUUGUGCUAAUACCGUAUGUGCCCUUCGGGGGAAAGAUUUAUCGGCAAAGGAUCGGCCCGCGUUGGAUUAGCUAGUUGGUGAGGUAAAGGCUCACCAAGGCGACGAUCCAUAGCUGGUCUGAGAGGAUGAUCAGCCACACUGGGACUGAGACACGGCCCAGACUCCUACGGGAGGCAGCAGUGGGGAAUAUUGGACAAUGGGCGCAAGCCUGAUCCAGCCAUGCCGCGUGAGUGAUGAAGGCCCUAGGGUUGUAAAGCUCUUUCACCGGUGAAGAUAAUGACGGUAACC